AUGAAGACCACUUUCAGCUGUUACAUUGUCUAGAUUCCAGAAAAUGUCACUACCACUCUGAAGGGAUGCACAGUUAUGGUGAAGGGUUCCAGAGGAAGCCUUUGAAAGGUGUUGAAUCACAUCAGUGUAAAAAUGUGAUCUCCUUGGAAAGAAAAAGAGGAGGUUAUAGGUUGAAUUCAAGAUGGGGAAACAGAAGGGCCAUUGUGUGAAAUAUCUGGAGUCACUUACAGAAUGUGAUGAAAGGAAUUACCCUGGGCUUCAGUUACACCAUGAGGUCUUUGUACCCACCCCCCAUUAUCAACGCUGUUGUUGUUGUUGUUUUUUUUAAAUCAAUAUUGGUAUUCAAGAGAAUGAAUCUAUUGUUAAAAUCUAAAACUUGUUUAACAGAAAAUCUCAUCCGCAGGGUUUGGAUGAAAAUGGGUGCCCCUUGCUCUGUUUAUCAAGCCCGGAAAGAUGAAUGAAUCUUGGAAGGAAACAAUAUUGAGGCAGUC
RNAcentral lists this long non-coding RNA (491 nucleotides) under Mus musculus (house mouse). Its description in RNAcentral is "long non-coding RNA chrX:52878242-52878733". Lineage: Eukaryota; Metazoa; Chordata; Mammalia; Rodentia; Muridae. The record is from RNAcentral.